CGACGACCUCAGAGCAGGGGAGACUACCCCCUAAAUUUAAGCAUUAAA
Molecule: ribosomal RNA, 48 nt
Filed under: Sycophila variegata
Lineage: Eukaryota; Metazoa; Arthropoda; Insecta; Hymenoptera; Eurytomidae
Description: partial 28S ribosomal RNA
Source: RNAcentral